AAAUCUCUCUCUCAUCCUCACGCCUAAGGGGAUUAUGGCGCCACUAAUUAUGGCCUUUGGAUCAUCAUCAAGCCUUGAUCAAUGGAUGAGAAUGGCUCCUACUUUUUAUGCGUGAGAAGAAAAGAAAAUAGGGAGGAGUACAACGCAUGAAUGAAGAGACGUAUCAUGAAAGCAUCUCUUGGUUGGAUAAGGAUGAAACAAUACUAACUCCUUAUCACAACCCUUCAUUUGAUAUGUCCUUUGAUUCAUGAUUGGAUGGCACCCCUUGAUGAAGGGAUGAGUGGAUGGGAUGCAUCUUUUGGAGAUGCAUCCCCAUGCCAUCUAUAAAUAGAUGCUCUCCCGGUGAAUUCAUUCCAUCGAAACUCUAGAAUUCCAACUUUCUCUUUUAUCCCUUCUUUCUUAUAUUAGUUUCUUUCUUUCUAGCAUUGCUUCUAGUGUGUCCUAAGCCAAGACAAGGUGGUCUUCUUUAAGACAAAAGGAUUAGAAGUGAUUUUAGAAGGAGAAAG
Molecule: long non-coding RNA, 506 nt
Filed under: Phoenix dactylifera (date palm)
Lineage: Eukaryota; Viridiplantae; Streptophyta; Magnoliopsida; Arecales; Arecaceae
Description: long non-coding RNA (PDAC_LNC022995)
Source: RNAcentral